This 485-nucleotide ribosomal RNA is filed under the name uncultured bacterium. Its description in RNAcentral is "partial 16S ribosomal RNA". It matches the Rfam family "Bacterial small subunit ribosomal RNA", at positions 30 to 508 of the family's 1533-position model. The record is from RNAcentral.
AUUGAACGCUGGCGGCAGGCCUAACACAUGCAAGUCGAGCGGAUGAAGGGAGCUUGCUCCUGGAUUCAGCGGCGGACGGGUGAGUAAUGCCUAGGAAUCUGCCUGGUAGUGGGGGAUAACGUCCGGAAACGGGCGCUAAUACCGCAUACGUCCUGAGGGAGAAAGUGGGGGAUCUUCGGACCUCACGCUAUCAGAUGAGCCUAGGUCGGAUUAACUAGUUGGUGGGGUAAAGGCCUACCAAGGCGACGAUCCGUAACUGGUCUGAGAGGAUGAUCAGUCACACUGGAACUGAGACACGGUCCAGACUCCUACGGGAGGCAGCAGUGGGGAAUAUUGGACAAUGGGCGAAAGCCUGAUCCAGCCAUGCCGCGUGUGUGAAGAAGGUCUUCGGAUUGUAAAGCACUUUAAGUUGGGAGGAAGGGCAGUAAGUUAAUACCUUGCUGUUUUGACGUUACCAACAGAAUAAGCACCGGCUAACUUCGUGC